Long non-coding RNA from Cucumis sativus (cucumber), 845 nucleotides. RefSeq lists it as uncharacterized. The record is from RefSeq and is a predicted model, not a curated record. NCBI's taxonomy places the organism in Eukaryota, Viridiplantae, Streptophyta, Magnoliopsida, Cucurbitales, Cucurbitaceae. The transcript is spliced from 2 exons.
CCUGACCCACGGACCCCAUUUUUCCAACGUGCAAAGGUGCUUUGAGCGGCGAGAGAGCAAAGCAUUUCCAUGAAAGCGCGCAGUGGGAAAAAAGCUUUGAUUCUCAAUUACUUGUUAAAUAAUUGUAACUACUUUAUGAUCAAAUCACUAAAGGAGGGCGAGCUUUACGAUGGUGGAAUUGAUUGGUGAUGAAGCAACUUCAAUUCUCUCACCUUUACUCAUCAAAUAUAAGACAACUUUUGAAUCCAAUUCAACGGUUUAUGUACGACAUUGGAACUUUGGAACAUUUGUUUCAAAAGAACAUCAAGACAAGAAAUGGUUGGAGGAUCAACAAUGGUGAAGAUGGACCAGACCAAACUUUAAGCUACAAUGAAGGAAAGGAAUUCAUCCAAUUCAAGUGAAGGUUCAUAGAGUUUACUAACCGAUCGUUGUAGUUUUGGAACGGUUCGAGGUCUGCGAUGCAGCAGCCAUUCGCUCUUUCCUUAAUCUGAGAUCAUCUAACAGCUUCUGAGCAAAAUCUGAUCUUUUUGCCAUGUUGGGUUUUGCUGGGUGGGAACUCAAGGUAACUUCUCAUCAACCAAGAGAGGGAGUGUGUUUACAUUGUAGACUAUUUCUAAGUGGAAGGAGAUUGCUGUGAUUUCUUUUCAUUGUGGUUGAAAAGGUUCUCUCAUGGUUGGGUGAGAUGGGAAAUGUGUUUUGAACCAAAAAAAUCAAUGGAAGUUUGAAAUUUUGGGUUUUAAAAGGUUGACGUUAAAGUCUCUCUCCCACUGUUUCAUUUUACUUUCUUUACAAUUUAAGCAACAGCGAUGAUAUUGAAGGGCUUCUCAUCCAAGCUUUCUGUGUCA